ACAACGAGGCUUCUUCCCUCAGGGAGGGACAGCUUGCUCUACUGAUGUGGCCCGUGGGGAUAUGGCCAGUUCUUCAAACAGAGCUAGCCAAAACGGAACAGAGAGUGAAUAACUCCGGCUACCCUAAGCAUCAAGCAAAACAAAGUCAACAAGUCACUGGCUCCGUCCCAGUCUGCCUUCUAACUACUGCUGAGGCUCCGAGGUCACGGGCUCCGUCCCAGUCUGCUUUCUAACUACUGCUGAGGCUCCGAGGUCACGGGCUCCGUCCCAGUCUGCUUUCUAACUACUGUUGCGGCUCCAUGUGGUGCUAAGACUACACAGGUGUGCUUUCAAUGUUUGCAGGGGCCUUUCACAAACAUGGGCGUUUUACAGGAAUGGCUUGGCCUCCUCGGAUACUCUUUUUAGGUAAAGGCAUUCAGGCAGGUCUCCUUCUUUGGCUUCAAGACUGAAAAGGACGUGUGCCUGUCCACCUACCCAUGCUAUGCCAUUUAGGAAGAUAU
Molecule: long non-coding RNA, 500 nt
Organism: Mastomys coucha (southern multimammate mouse)
Lineage: Eukaryota; Metazoa; Chordata; Mammalia; Rodentia; Muridae
Exons: 2
Source: RefSeq, a predicted model, not a curated record